GGAGCGGUGGUGGAGGAGUUAACACGUCGGCCUGUCAAGCCGAAGAUCGCGGGUGCGAAACCCGUCCGCUCCG
RNAcentral lists this transfer RNA (73 nucleotides) under Candidatus Wallbacteria bacterium GWC2_49_35. RNAcentral describes it as "tRNA-Asp". It matches the Rfam family "tRNA". Rfam says of the family: Transfer RNA (tRNA) molecules are approximately 80 nucleotides in length. RNAcentral also lists the same sequence under 1 other name. The record is from RNAcentral. Lineage: Bacteria; Candidatus Walliibacteriota.